UAAGGAAUAUUGGUCAAUGGACGCAAGUCUGAACCAGCCGUGCCGCGUGGAGGAUGAAGGUCCUCUGGAUUGUAAACUUCUUUUAUCUGGGACGAAACACUUCUUUUCUAAGAGGCCUGACGGUACCAGAUGAAUAAGCACCGGCUAACUCCGUGCCAGCAGCCGCGGUAAUACGGAGGGUGCAAGCGUUAUCCGGAUUCACUGGGUUUAAAGGGUGCGUAGGUGGGUAUGUAAGUCAGUGGUGAAAUCCCCGAGCUUAACUUGGGAACUGCCAUUGAUACUAUAUGUCUUGAAUAUUGUGGAGGUAAGCGGAAUAUGUCAUGUAGCGGUGAAAUGCUUAGAUAUGACAUAGAACACCAAUUGCGAAGGCAGCUUAGUAUAUAAGUAUUGACCCUGGGGCACGA
RNAcentral lists this ribosomal RNA (404 nucleotides) under uncultured bacterium. RNAcentral's name for it is "bacterial SSU rRNA". It matches the Rfam family "Bacterial small subunit ribosomal RNA", at positions 355 to 756 of the family's 1533-position model. The record is from RNAcentral.